RNAcentral lists this unclassified non-coding RNA (486 nucleotides) under Hevea brasiliensis (rubber tree). The record is from RNAcentral. Lineage: Eukaryota; Viridiplantae; Streptophyta; Magnoliopsida; Malpighiales; Euphorbiaceae.
GAGUGAUGCACGUGCUUUAAGAGUUGUGCUUAGCCUAACAGGAGUUAAAGAGGGCUUGAAGGGUCAUGUUGUUGUGGAGAUGAGUGAUCUUGACAAUGAACCUCUGGUGAAGCUUGUAGGAGGAGAACUCACUGAAACAGUUGUUGCACAUGAUGUGAUUGGACGUUUGAUGAUCCAAUGUGCUCUACAACCCGGCCUUGCACAGAUUUGGGAAGAUAUAUUAGGGUUUGAGAAUGCGGAAUUUUACAUCAAAAGGUGGCCUCAGUUAGAUGGUCUGCAUUUUGAAGAUGUGCUUAUUUCAUUUCCUGAUGCAAUUCCUUGUGGGGUUAAGGUUGCUGCAGAAGGUGGGAAGAUUAACUUAAACCCCGAUGAUAAAUAUGUUCUAAAAGAAGGGGAUGAGAUUCUUGUCAUAGCUGAGGAUGAUGACACUUAUGCUCCAGUUCCUCUUCCCAAGGUACGUGGAGGUUCUUGUCCAAAACUGAUUGA